AAAAAAAUCAACAUUAAAAUAGUUAUCUUCCCUCUCCUUGGGUUUUGAGGGAGACAGAGAUAAGAUUUGCAUCUAUAACGAAGCACUUCUCUCUUCUCUCUCGUCCUCAAUACUUCGGUGUCAAUCUGAUAUAGGAAACUAGGCAUUGAUAUAUGGUUAGAUACGUGGCAAUACAUGAGUGGAGACAGUAGCUGUGAGACGUGGCAAGAGAAGAUUGGUCGAUGGGAGUGUUAGAGGAAGAAUCGAGAUGCAGAGAUAUAUAGCUAAUGAAGAUCAUUUGCAGAAGAUAAGAAGAUUUUGGAUUUGUUGUUUAUAGUUUCCUUUUGGAUUCUCUCUGAGAAUCGUUCCUCAUCGUUCGCCGGAGUUUCAUGUUGAACUCUUGUAGAUGAGAAGUUGAUAUCGCGUUUCAUGAACGUUGUAUCAAUCUGUCAUUUUCAUUAAUCGAAGCAUUCUAUUUCGUUACUCUGUUUUCCGUUAUCACUGGUAUCAGAGCCAAUCGUGUCCUCGGUGGAGAUCAAAGCUACUUGCACGAUGAAGAGUCGUCGGCGCAUAUCGUGGGAAGAGAUAAACGAGAGCUGGUUGAAUGGCUUAUGUGUGUUUUGCA
Molecule: small RNA, 604 nt
Filed under: Arabidopsis thaliana (thale cress)
Lineage: Eukaryota; Viridiplantae; Streptophyta; Magnoliopsida; Brassicales; Brassicaceae
Description: ATSL124160
Source: RNAcentral